Molecule: ribosomal RNA, 1120 nt
Filed under: Acinetobacter sp. AB1
Lineage: Bacteria; Pseudomonadati; Pseudomonadota; Gammaproteobacteria; Moraxellales; Moraxellaceae
Description: bacterial SSU rRNA
Rfam family: Bacterial small subunit ribosomal RNA
Source: RNAcentral
CGGCCCAGACUCCUACGGGAGGCAGCAGUGGGGAAUAUUGGACAAUGGGGGGAACCCUGAUCCAGCCAUGCCGCGUGUGUGAAGAAGGCCUUUUGGUUGUAAAGCACUUUAAGCGAGGAGGAGGCUAUUCUUAUUAAUACUUAUGGAUAGUGGACGUUACUCGCAGAAUAAGCACCGGCUAACUCUGUGCCAGCAGCCGCGGUAAUACAGAGGGUGCGAGCGUUAAUCGGAUUUACUGGGCGUAAAGCGUGCGUAGGCGGCUGAUUAAGUCGGAUGUGAAAUCCCUGAGCUUAACUUAGGAAUUGCAUUCGAUACUGGUCAGCUAGAGUAUGGGAGAGGAUGGUAGAAUUCCAGGUGUAGCGGUGAAAUGCGUAGAGAUCUGGAGGAAUACCGAUGGCGAAGGCAGCCAUCUGGCCUAAUACUGACGCUGAGGUACGAAAGCAUGGGGAGCAAACAGGAUUAGAUACCCUGGUAGUCCAUGCCGUAAACGAUGUCUACUAGCCGUUGGGGCCUUUGAGGCUUUAGUGGCGCAGCUAACGCGAUAAGUAGACCGCCUGGGGAGUACGGUCGCAAGACUAAAACUCAAAUGAAUUGACGGGGGCCCGCACAAGCGGUGGAGCAUGUGGUUUAAUUCGAUGCAACGCGAAGAACCUUACCUGGUCUUGACAUAGUAAGAACUUUCCAGAGAUGGAUUGGUGCCUUCGGGAACUUACAUACAGGUGCUGCAUGGCUGUCGUCAGCUCGUGUCGUGAGAUGUUGGGUUAAGUCCCGCAACGAGCGCAACCCUUUUCCUUAUUUGCCAGCGGGUUAAGCCGGGAACUUUAAGGAUACUGCCAGUGACAAACUGGAGGAAGGCGGGGACGACGUCAAGUCAUCAUGGCCCUUACGACCAGGGCUACACACGUGCUACAAUGGUCGGUACAAAGGGUUGCUACCUAGCGAUAGGAUGCUAAUCUCAAAAAGCCGAUCGUAGUCCGGAUUGGAGUCUGCAACUCGACUCCAUGAAGUCGGAAUCGCUAGUAAUCGCGGAUCAGAAUGCCGCGGUGAAUACGUUCCCGGGCCUUGUACACACCGCCCGUCACACCAUGGGAGUUUGUUGCACCAGAAGUAGGUAGUCUAA